UACGUAGGGGGCAAGCGUUAUCCGGAAUUACUGGGUGUAAAGGGAGCGUAGACGGUAAUGUAAGUCUGGAGUGAAAGGCGGGGGCCCAACCCCCGGACUGCUCUGGAAACUAUGUUACUAGAGUGCAGGAGAGGUAAGCGGAAUUCCUAGUGUAGCGGUGAAAUGCGUAGAUAUUAGGAGGAACACCAGUGGCGAAGGCGAUUUGCUGGGCCAUUACUGACGCUCAUGCACGAAAGCGUGGGGAGCAAAUAGG
Molecule: ribosomal RNA, 253 nt
Filed under: uncultured bacterium
Lineage: Bacteria
Description: partial 16S ribosomal RNA
Rfam family: Bacterial small subunit ribosomal RNA
Source: RNAcentral